GAAAUACGUACCUCUGCACACUUUUUUGCAGCGCCACAAGUAUGUACAUAUUGCUACAGUUUUGAAACACAAACGUCCACUGGGGUCGCUAAAGAGAAGGACUGCAUGUGACAUUGCAAUCGACAGUAAGAGCAGAGGUUCCAGUCAUAUCAAAGAGGAAGAAGAGUAAAGUUUUUUUUUUUUUAGCCUAUCAAGGAACAGGAGAUUUGAAGAUCAUCUGUAAUCUCACUAUCUUUCUGCCUCUUGCAGUAAAACGCAGACAGGUGUUAAAAAAUAAAUGACUGAGAGAGUCAUCUGAUCAGCCUAUACCAGAGAAAAAUACGGAGGAGGAAUUACACCGUGAUCUUGAGGAAAUAAUGGCUGAUUUGGAGGAGAUGCACCUCCGAACAUGUUUAGGGGCGAGAUAUUUGCAUACCCUCUGUUUCUGAAGAAGGAACUGGCCACAAAAACAAACUGCAAGUUCUUCUGCACUGACAUCAUGUGUCAAUAUUGGUCCUAUCUGCAAGAGGUGGCUCAAGCAUUCCCAGAAAUGGAAAACUUGACUCAGAUGAAGCCAUUUCUCUCAGUUAUGAAUGCAAAGGGGCACGCUACAAAUUGUGAGGUGCAGUGGGGUGGCAAAAACCAAACAGGGGCAGCUUGCUUUUUAUUAUUAUUAUUAUUAUUAUUUCAUUCAUCAUACUCUGUGACUAACCACUAAUUGAAAAGCACAUUUAUGCCUUUCAUCAUUACAGCACGAGUAGAUAUGAUCACAUUGCAUGCCAGAGGCCCACAUAGCAAAUGUCUUCUGGCCCAGAUCCGGGCUACACAAUCACUUUUCCCUCGGUCCAAGUGCCGCAAAGAAUGACGGCCCUGAAGUGGCCCAGAACUGGAUUACAGACAAGGGCCACACAUGGGCCAUAACCGGGCCGAAUCUCAGCCAGUUAAUCACCCUGAACUGUCCCUGAACUGGGCCAAAACAGGUUUUAUUAUUGGUGCCAAUUCUCAGCCUUAAGUAAACCAGAAUCUCCAAAUCUGAGCCACACCUGAGCCUUAUAUAGCCCAGACCCAACACAGACAGCAAGCAGUUUGUUGGAUUUCAU
Molecule: long non-coding RNA, 1079 nt
Organism: Cyprinus carpio carpio
Lineage: Eukaryota; Metazoa; Chordata; Actinopteri; Cypriniformes; Cyprinidae
Source: Ensembl